RNAcentral lists this ribosomal RNA (254 nucleotides) under uncultured bacterium. RNAcentral's name for it is "partial 16S ribosomal RNA". It matches the Rfam family "Bacterial small subunit ribosomal RNA", at positions 524 to 776 of the family's 1533-position model. The record is from RNAcentral.
UACGUAGGCAGCGAGCGUUGUUCGGAGUUCCUGGGCGUAAAGGGUGUGUAGGCGGUUGUUUAAGUUUGGUGUGAAAUCUCCCGGCUCAACUGGGAGGGUGCGCCGAAUACUGAAUGACUUGGAGUGCGGGAGAGGAGAGUGGAAUUCCUGGUGUAGCGGUGAAAUGCGUAGAUAUCAGGAGGAACACCGGUGGUGUAGACGGCUCUCUGGACCGUAACUGACGCUGAGACACGAAAGCGUGGGUAGCAAACAGG